GACGAACGCUGGCGGCGUGCUUAACACAUGCAAGUCGAACGGAAAGGCCUUUUCGGAGGUACUCGAGUGGCGAACGGGUGAGUAACACGUGGGUGAUCUGCCCUGCACUCUGGGAUAAGCCUGGGAAACUGGGUCUAAUACCGGAUAGGACCGCACUUUAGUGUGUGUGGUGGAAAGUUUUUUCGGUGUAGGAUGAGCCCGCGGCCUAUCAGCUUGUUGGUGGGGUAAUGGCCUACCAAGGCGGCGACGGGUAGCCGGACUGAGAGGUUGGUCGGCCACAUUGGGACUGCGAUACGGCCCAGACUCCUACGGGAGGCAGCAGUGGGGAAUAUUGCACAAUGGGCGCAAGCCUGAUGCAGCGACGCCGCGUGGGGGAUGACGGCCUUCGGGUUGUAAACUCCUUUCGCCAGGGACGAAGCGUUUUGUGACGGUACCUGGAGAAGAAGCACCGGCUAACUACGUG
RNAcentral lists this ribosomal RNA (463 nucleotides) under uncultured bacterium. Its description in RNAcentral is "partial 16S ribosomal RNA". It matches the Rfam family "Bacterial small subunit ribosomal RNA", at positions 28 to 507 of the family's 1533-position model. The record is from RNAcentral.